This 347-nucleotide ribosomal RNA is filed under the name Coccinella undecimpunctata (eleven-spotted ladybird). RNAcentral's name for it is "partial 12S ribosomal RNA". Lineage: Eukaryota; Metazoa; Arthropoda; Insecta; Coleoptera; Coccinellidae. The record is from RNAcentral.
UUAAAUGUAAAUAAAAAGCUAAGUGAUUAAUAGUUAAGUUCUUUAAAGCUAAAUAAUUUGGCGGUAUUUUAUACUUUUCAGAGGAACCUGUUCUAUAAUUGAUAAUCCACGAUUAAAUUAACUUUAAUUAGAAGCUUUUAUAUCAUCGUUGUUAAGUAUUUUAUAAGAAUUAAAUAUUUAAGAUUUUAAAUAAGAAAAUAAAUCAGAUCAAGGUGAAGCUUAUAUUAAAGAAGAAAUGGGUUACAUUAAAUUUUAUUUAUGAAUUUUAAAUUUGAAAGGUUUUAUGAAAUUGGAUUUGAGAGUAAUUAAUUAAUAUAUUUUUUUAAUGAUUUAGUUCUAAAAUAUGC